Molecule: ribosomal RNA, 504 nt
Filed under: uncultured bacterium
Lineage: Bacteria
Description: partial 16S ribosomal RNA
Rfam family: Bacterial small subunit ribosomal RNA
Source: RNAcentral
GACGAACGCUGGCGGCGUGCUUAACACAUGCAAGUCGAACGGUGAAGCGCUUGCCUUUUUGGUGGGUGUGGAUGAGUGGCGAACGGGUGAGUAACACGUGAGUAACCUGCCCUCUUCUUCUGGAUAACCUCAUGAAAGUGGGGCUAAUACGGGGUAUUCCGGGUCUGUCGCAUGGCGGGUUUGGGAAAGAUUGCGCCUUUGGGUGUUUUCGGUGGGGGAUGGGCUCGCAGCCUAUCAGCUUGUUGGUGGGGUGAUGGCCUACCAAGGCGGUGACGGGUAGCCGGCCUGAGAGGGUGGACGGCCACACUGGGACUGAGACACGGCCCAGACUCCUGCGGGAGGCAGCAGUGGGGAAUAUUGCACAAUGGGCGCAAGCCUGAUGCAGCGACGCCGCGUGAGGGAUGGAGGCCUUCGGGUUGUGAACCUCUUUCGCCAGUGAAGCAGGCCUGCUCCUGUGUGGGUGGGUUGACGGUAGCUGGAGAAGAAGCGCCGGCUAACUACGUG